This 1259-nucleotide long non-coding RNA is filed under the name Taeniopygia guttata (zebra finch). RNAcentral's name for it is "lncRNA (ENSTGUG00000022915.1)". The record is from RNAcentral. Lineage: Eukaryota; Metazoa; Chordata; Aves; Passeriformes; Estrildidae.
AAUUUUAUUCUUUUUUUGGCUGAAAAAACUGCAUACACAUGUUCAGAUCUGAGCAACCUUCACCACAUGUCUUCGUUUCCAAACAAAUUUGUUCUCUGAAGCAUGCAGGAGCCCACUGCAGCUUGAGAAAGAAGUUAAGAGGGUUUUCUUUUUAAUCUAGAACUGUGCAAACAUCAUUUGAAAGCUAUUUACAUUUUGCACUCUCACUUCUACUAACAGGAGCAUCAGCUGGUAGAGAUGUGCAGAGUGCAGCUGUAAUUUAUGAUUUGGCACCCACGUUUGAUUUGUGUGGAGUGAAAACCAAACAAACCUCCCACUGUUCCAAAACCUCCCCACAGGCAAUGGCAAUAAAUCUAAUUUCUUCUUUGUGAAGGAAAUCUCUUUAAGCCUUCCCUGCAGGUAUUAAAAUAUUGUUUCCACUCUGGAGCCUCUUCCCCUGGUGCUGAUUUGCACUUUGCUGCCUUGGUGAGUGGGAGCAGCAAGAAAAGAUUUUGAUUUUCACCAGAGAAGGCAAAGGGCACUGAGACAGAGCAGGGCUGCUUCUUCCUGUCAUCCUCACUAAACUGCAAGAUGAGAUGGAGAAUUUUUUUCCAAAAAAAAAAAAAUUAUUUUAGACCAUCUGAACUCAGCUGCAGAAACUUAGAUGUGAAAAAAGCUGGAUUUAAGUUCAUCCUCCUGUUGCCUUCUCUUCCAAGUUUCUCUCCCAUCCAUUGAAGCCUGGAAGUCACCAACCAGCCAGCCAGGAGCUCCAAUCCUGCUGGAGAUCCUCAUUUUUUAUCUCCUCUAACCUGGCCCCUGGAUUGUGUUGGUAGAACUUUGGGUGUGAGGAGCCACCAAAACAGCCUCUGCCAGAGCAGGUGGAUGCAGCUCAUUUCCAAAGGAAUCAGAAAUUUUGUGGAUUAAAAGAACAUUUAAUGGAAAUUACACGUCUAGGAAAGAUUUCCCUCUUGGGUGAUGCCUUUAUGCAUUCAUUAUUCCCGGCUCCACUUGGAAAAGAGAAUGGCUGAGCAAGAAUUAAACAGGAAAUAGGGUUUGCCUUCACUGUUCAUUGUUAAAUGUUCUUUUUGGCAUUUGAAACAAUCUCUAAAUGCAGGCUAAAAGCAUCUAUUUAGAGAAAAUAGAAUGAUAAGAAAUGUUCAAGGCUUUACAGAGGGAUUCUGUUAUUUUGGGGUUUAAGGAUGUUCCAAGCAGAUCAGUCCAUAGGGAAUUCAUCAGAUUUCCCUGCUGGAAAACCUCCCAAUGUCCCAUUUUCUUCUACC